GUGAACGCUGGCGGUAGGCCUAACACAUGCAAGUCGAACGGCAGCACAGUAAGAGCUUGCUCUUACGGGUGGCGAGUGGCGGACGGGUGAGGAAUACAUCGGAAUCUACUUUUUCGUGGGGGAUAACGUAGGGAAACUUACGCUAAUACCGCAUACGACCUACGGGUGAAAGCAGGGGAUCUUCGGACCUUGCGCGAUUGAAUGAGCCGAUGUCGGAUUAGCUAGUUGGCGGGGUAAAGGCCCACCAAGGCGACGAUCCGUAGCUGGUCUGAGAGGAUGAUCAGCCACCCUGGAACUGAGACACGGUCCAGACUCCUACGGGAGGCAGCAGUGGGGAAUAUUGGACAAUGGGCGCAAGCCUGAUCCAGCCAUACCGCGUGGGUGAAGAAGGCCUUCGGGUUGUAAAGCCCUUUUGUUGGGAAAGAAAAGCAGCAGGUUAAUACCCCGCUGUUCUGACGGUACCCAAAGAAUAAGCACCGGCUAACUUCGUG
This 491-nucleotide ribosomal RNA is filed under the name uncultured bacterium. RNAcentral's name for it is "partial 16S ribosomal RNA". It matches the Rfam family "Bacterial small subunit ribosomal RNA", at positions 29 to 507 of the family's 1533-position model. The record is from RNAcentral.